GUUUUAAUAGUAUAUAUUUACAUUAUCUUUUCGUGAUAGAGAAGGAACAUUUCCUUAAAAUU
This 62-nucleotide transfer RNA is filed under the name Karaftohelix adamsi. RNAcentral describes it as "tRNA-Glu". The record is from RNAcentral. Lineage: Eukaryota; Metazoa; Mollusca; Gastropoda; Stylommatophora; Camaenidae.